This 380-nucleotide ribosomal RNA is filed under the name uncultured eukaryote. RNAcentral describes it as "partial 18S ribosomal RNA". It matches the Rfam family "Eukaryotic small subunit ribosomal RNA", at positions 592 to 976 of the family's 1831-position model. The record is from RNAcentral.
CAAUAGCGUAUAUUAAAGUUGUUGCAGUUAGAACGCUCGUAGUCGGAUUUCGGGGCGGGGCGACCGGUCUGCCGAUGGGUAUGCACUGGUCGGCGCGUCCUUCCUUCCGGAGACCGUUCCUACUCUUAACUGAGCGGGGGCGGGAGACGGAUCGUUUACUUUGAAAAAAUCAGAGUGUUUCAAGCAGGCGGCUCGCUCUUGCAUGGAUUAGCAUGGGAUAAUGAAAUAGGACUUUGGUGCUAUUUUGUUGGUUUCGAACACCGAAGUAAUGAUUAAAAGGGACAGUCAGGGGCACUCGUAUUCCGCCGAGAGAGGUGAAAUUCUCAGACCAGCGGAAGACGAACCACUGCGAAAGCAUUUGCCAGGGAUGUUUUCACUGA